GAUGAACGCUGACAGAAUGCUUAACACAUGCAAGUCUACUUGAAUUUGGGUUUUUUACCCUCGAUUUGGGUGGCGGACGGGUGAGUAACGCGUAAAGAACUUGCCUCACAGCUAGGGACAACAUUUGGAAACGAAUGCUAAUACCUGAUAUUAUGAUUAUAAGGCAUCUUAGAAUUAUGAAAGCUAUAUGCGCUGUGAGAGAGCUUUGCGUCCCAUUAGCUAGUUGGAGAGGUAACGGCUCACCAAGGCGAUGAUGGGUAGCCGGCCUGAGAGGGUGAACGGCCACAAGGGGACUGAGACACGGCCCUUACUCCUACGGGGGCAGCAGUGGGGAAUAUUGGACAAUGGACCAAGAGUCUGAUCCAGCAAUUCUGUGUGCACGAUGACGUUUUUCGGAAUGUAAAGUGCUUUCAGUUGGGAAGAAAAAAAUGACGGUACCAACAGAAGAAGUGACGGCUAAAUACGUG
RNAcentral lists this ribosomal RNA (467 nucleotides) under uncultured bacterium. RNAcentral's name for it is "partial 16S ribosomal RNA". It matches the Rfam family "Bacterial small subunit ribosomal RNA", at positions 28 to 507 of the family's 1533-position model. The record is from RNAcentral.